UUGACAGGUCAGCGAGCCACUUUAUAGCUUUCCGAGUAGCAUAUUUUAAUUUUAUUUUCUAUUAUCCUUUCGUUUAAGAGUUAUAAAUAAUACAUACGUAGUCUUUAUAGUAGAAUAAUUAUCCUAUUAGAUUGUACGAGGGUGCAAUUGCAGUGUUACAUAAACUAGAGCCAAUCGUGUCGGCGGUCCCGAUGUCUAUAAGUAUAGUACGUCAGUGAUUGAAUGUUGGCUGUAAGAUAAUGGAUGUGGAUGCUCCUAACAUAUUGAAAAGGUGCAGUAGCGCACCUUUGAUCAAUGAGGCGUCUUCUACAGCGGCCACGUCGCCCACAACAACCACAGCGCCCAGGAACACGUCGUUCUUCAAUAUGUUCUCGAACAACAACCGCACGCGGCGGUACAGUCACGGCAGCGGCGGCCUCAGUCCGCUGGCGGCACCUGUCAAUGUAGCUAAUUCGUGGGGCCGCGCGACCCCUAGAGACCGCCUGAACCAGCUGCGGGCCGAGGAGUGCGCUGACGUCAGCAACACACGGGAGGUGGCGCACGAGCGGGAGAUACACAACGCCAUGCAGAUGGGGCAGUCCUGUGAAGACCUCACACUUGUACCUGGGCUUGCUAACUCACCCACGCGGUUACCCAGGUUUUCGCCGUCACCGUCCGUGGUAUCGCCAUCGCCAACACGGAAGUACCAGACGACGCGGCGCAGUCUCUCACCAACCAUAGCUAUAAGAGCGUCAAGCUUCAGUCCAGUCAGCCUGAGUCGACCGAACCAGCUAGUGGGCAAGAGACGGUGCGAUGAAGCAGACUCACCCCUAUCUAAACGUAUGUGCACGUCUGACAGACUAACCCCCUCAACACCAGGAACGCCGGACUCUGACUCCUUAGAGUGUACAUUCAGGCCGGUAUCACCUAGAGCUCAACCAAUGAACGAGUCACCACACGAGUCUCAAGAUGCCCAGGAGAAUCACAAAACCAGUCCUAGCUAAUAGUUUGUAGGGUAUUAAAAGGUGAUGUUAGUGGGGUUCGCAUAAAGUUGGUGGGUGUGAUUGUUAGAUGAAAUAACAUUAUUUAUAACACCGACAGUAUAUGAAUGUCAAUGUAUAAAUAUGCUUAAUGAUGUAACAAUUUUAUGCGAAUUCCUAUUAAUUUGAGAUGAUACUACCCACGUCUGUCGUAACGGACCUAUUAUUCUUUAUAGGGUAAUGCGUUUAUUCCAAUAAAAGUAGCCUUUGGCAAUUAUUGGUUCCUAUAAUCAAUAUGAAUUUGUAGGUAGACGUGAUAGCAAGCUAUUGUAAUUGAGAGGUGCAAUCUUUUAUAAAUAUUUAUAUGUGUUUAAGCAAAAAUGUGUAAACAUGCGGAACAAUAGUUAAAGAAACUGCUAAAGGCAACAAACAUAUAGAUUAAAGAAUUGAAAUAACAUUUUGCUGUGAACUAAACAAAUACAUUAUAAAUAGGACAGCUUUUUGUAUAAAUUUCUUGGGAUAAUUAACAAUUUUGAUUUGAAUAACCUCCUAAAUACAAUUACUUGUUCUCAAACACAUGACGAAGGCAUUGGCUAAUAGGUAGAAAUUCUACCGUACGGUUAUUUCGCUUUCUUGUAGUACAGGGUAUUAUUGCUUAUAUUCACGUAUAUUUCAAUGCUACAAUUUAAUUUUUUCGUGUCUAAAUUGGCAACAUUGAUGACUGCUGCCGAUGCAUUAGUAUUGCCAGUUGAGAGCGAAUAGAAAUUGUGACUUUAUGAAAUGGAACGUAGACUGUUUGUAGUGCUAGCAAACUUGUGAUUUAUUUACACAGUAGGACUUAAAAUACACCACGUGCUAUGCGUGCGAGUGACGUCACAAUUGAGUGUUCAAAUGGAAAGAAGGCAGUGCCUUUUCUGGGGUAUUUUAUAAUGCAAACUUGGCGACACUAGCACAUGUAGCGACGGCCUUUAUAUAAAGGUAAUAGUACUAAUUCUUGCAGACGCCUUCUAAUUUUAUUUUAAGUUAUACCUGUAAUUUUCUCAUCCGUUAAAAAAGGAAGGGACGGGUAAUCGACAGGCGUAAAAUUUAUGGAAUACACAUCAAUUUUAAGGAAAUCUAAAAUAUAAAAAUUUUACAUCGGCCAAUAAGCCGACUGAAUUAAGUAGACAGCACGUCUAACGGCUUAGAGAUGCCUAUUUUAUUCGCACGGGAUAUCAAUUCAUUUUAAAAUUAACUUGUUGACAAUCAUCCGUCCCUUUCCUUUUCGGCGGAUAAGAAAAUGAAUAGAAUAGAAUAGAAAAAGUUUAUUAUAAAAUGACGGGUAUAACUUAAAAUAAAUUUAGGAGGUGUCUGCAGGAAUCGGGGC
Molecule: unclassified non-coding RNA, 2325 nt
Filed under: Pectinophora gossypiella (pink bollworm)
Lineage: Eukaryota; Metazoa; Arthropoda; Insecta; Lepidoptera; Gelechiidae
Description: uncharacterized LOC126375199
Source: RNAcentral